RNAcentral lists this ribosomal RNA (254 nucleotides) under uncultured bacterium. RNAcentral's name for it is "partial 16S ribosomal RNA". It matches the Rfam family "Bacterial small subunit ribosomal RNA", at positions 524 to 777 of the family's 1533-position model. The record is from RNAcentral.
UACAGAGGUCUCAAGCGUUGUUCGGAUUCAUUGGGCGUAAAGGGUGCGUAGGCGGCGCGGUAAGUCGGGUGUGAAAUCUCGGAGCUUAACUCCGAAACUGCAUUCGAUACUGCCGUGCUUGAGGACUGGAGAGGAGACUGGAAUUUACGGUGUAGCGGUGAAAUGCGUAGAUAUCGUAAGGAAGACCAGUGGCGAAGGCGGGUCUCUGGACAGUUCCUGACGCUGAGGCACGAAGGUCAGGGGAGCAAACGGGG